Long non-coding RNA from Melospiza melodia melodia, 2316 nucleotides. RefSeq lists it as uncharacterized. The record is from RefSeq and is a predicted model, not a curated record. The transcript is spliced from 2 exons. Lineage: Eukaryota; Metazoa; Chordata; Aves; Passeriformes; Passerellidae.
UCCAAAUAAAGAACGCGCGAGCACGUAGGAAACAGAACCCAUGGAAAAAAUCUGCUGCCAAAUCCUAACAGGAUUUUUUGCUGCCAAAUCACAGCAGCAGCAGCACGGGCACCGUCGGGAAGCGAGGCUGAAACCCGCAGCACAGCCAUACCUCACACGGGGUCAUUCCCUUUGCCUGACCCUUUCCAGCAAGAAUGGACAGAGCUGCUUCAGUGAGCAUUCCUUUCCAUCGUAAGGGCAAAAAAAUGUACAAGGGAGGAUGCAAUAAGGAGCUGCCCAUAUCCUCUGAGAGACAAAAAUGUGAGGGCUUGAGGAAAAGGCUCCUGAAGAAUGACAGAUGGAGGCAGUCAGAAGCAUGGAGAUGCAGUUCCUCAAAUGUUUCAAGGCAUAUGCACCUCCUGGAGAGCAUGGGCCAAGAUUGCUUUGUGACCUUUUCGUAUUUUGCAGCCUCUCUUCUUUUAAAUCCAUUUUGUUGGAAGUGAGUUUUGCUAAAAACAACAAAGCACAAAUGCCUUUCUCAGCAUGUCACAAUUUUUUGACCAACCCACAUAGACAAACUGGAGACCUUGAGAACAUACGCUUCCGUUCUGUAUAAACAGUUUAAAAUAGAUUUUAGCUUUGCUCAGCAUUACGUACAGUUACUAUUUUAAAAUGCACUCCAAUUAAUCAUUCCCUUUUUUGCCUCUGCCCUCCAUUCAUGCUUUUGGAUCUCGUAUAUGUUCAAGUCCUUGUCUUAUCAUGAAAACAAAUACAUCUGUACAUUUUAAAUUAAUUCAGAAUAACAAGGUUUCCCUCCUCUCCAUCAAUAAAAAUACAUAAAGAAAAUCCACACACUGUGUCAUGUGCAUGUUAAAAUCUGAAGCAAUUGUGAUUAAAACUUCUCACAAACAUGCAAACAUUGGUGACAACUGGCCUCUAGCUUCAAGAAGAGAAAUGCAUCCCUCAGCCUGUGCUUCUGAAUGGCUGCACAUCUCAGAGAUGCCUCUGUGCUGAGGUGGCUCAAAGUGUUCACUAUCUCUGCUUCCUUCUUCAGCCCAUCUGCAAUGCUCCAGCCUCGUACUGGAAAUAUUUUGGUAGCUGCUUAUUGUUCCUUGAGGAAGGGGCAAUUACUUCUCAUCCAGAGCCAGCCUCUCCAUCUGUUUUUCAGUUAUCCAUGUGCAGAUUUCAUUGCCAUUCUAGAACUGCUAAGGGCAGGAUGGGAAGCUCUUCGUGUUUUCCAAACAGCACGUAAAAUCCUGUGGGAUAAGGAAGCAAAAGGCCAAAGGUGCGUGUCAGAAUUACACAUGAGAGAAUAAGCACAGAGAGUACACAGGAAAGAGCUCUGCAGCUGUAAGAUAUUCUUCAUGGAAGGGAAGCAGCCUUGGAUAUUCAGAAGUGCCACACACACUGCUGGUUUUCCCAGGUUAGCAGUGCUGGCUCAGUCCCAGCAGUCUGCCGCUCCAGGAAGAGAUCAGUGAGAAACAUCUGCUGGAUCUCAACUUUCUCCUUUUCAGAUGUCCCAUUACACUCACUCUGGAAUCACUGCAUGACUUAAAGGCAGGAAUCCAAAGAGUCUGCUGCAAAGUGAGCUGUGGGGAUUGCUCUGAUUGCCAGUGUUUCCUGCCAGUUGCUGACAGAGCUAGGAACAGAGUAAGGUCUAGCUAACAAACACUGGUGGAUAAACAGGACCUGGCAAGAGAAAUCAGGGGAAUGGUUUGGUUUGCACCAGGCCACUGGAUCCCAUUUCUUUGUGCAAAACGUCGCACACUGCUGCACUGGAGGAAUGUGCCAUGGGAUGUGGAGCAGAACAGAAAACACAUUCCUGGAAGGAGCCAGCAAUUCCAAAAGAUGGCAACUAUGUAGAGGUAAAAGGCUUUACUUAUGGAGCAGCAAGACAGAAUGUCUGUGCUAAUUGACAGAACUUCUGCAGCUCACUUACUGUGGAUAUACAAAGUUGUGUCUCAGUGGAUGCUUGUAAGUGCACUCUUGGGACAGACUACCAUGGGAUGGAGGAAUGGAAAACCUUUUUCCUGCUAUAUGGCUGGUGUCUCAGCAGCACAGGCAGAGGGCUGGCUGCUCUUUCACUCUGUCCUUUAGCCUGGCUUUUCCUUGGAAACUGUGGGAGAAAACCAAGGAGGAGGAAUUAAUGCUUCCGUGAAAACACUCAGUGCACAUCUCUACUCAGGCAGAAUGGCACUUAAAGAAGAGUCCCAAGAGCUGAUUGUGAGGUAACAUUAAGUACAGACUUUGCACAUUAGUAUUUCCCAGGCUAGAAAAAUGUAAAGCUCUCAUUUCUAUUACCUGGUUAAAAAAGAAAAUAAAAAGGACUAAUUUUAA